CCUGGUUGAUCCUGCCAGUAAUCAUAUGCUUGUCUCAAAGAUUAAGCCAUGCAUGUCUAAGUACAUGCCGAAAUAAGGCGAAACCGCGAAUGGCUCAUUAAAUCAGUUAUGGUUCCUUAGAUCGUUUCUUCCUACUUGGAUAACUGUGGCAAUUCUAGAGCUAAUACAUGCAGUGAGCCUGGAGCCCUUUGGGUAACGGGUGCUUUUAUUAGACCAAGAUCGAUCGGGUUUCGGCCCGUAUUGUGUGGUGACUCUGGAUAACUUUGUGCUGAUCGCAUGGCCACGAGCCGGCGACGUUUCUUUCAAGUGUCUGCCUUAUCAACUUUCGAUGGUAGGUUACUUGCUUACCAUGGUUGUUACGGGUAACGGAGAAUCAGGGUUCGAUUCCGGAGAGGGAGCCUGAGAAACGGCUACCACAUCCAAGGAAGGCAGCAGGCGCGCAAAUUACCCACUCCCGGCACGGGGAGGUAGUGACGAAAAAUAACAAUACGGGACUCUUUUGAGGCCCCGUAAUUGAAAUGAGUACACUCUAAAUCCUUUAACGAGGAUCAAUUGGAGGGCAAGUCUGGUGCCAGCAGCCGCGGUAAUUCCAGCUCCAAUAGCGUAUACGAAAGCUGCUGCGGUUAAAAAGCUCGUAGUUGGAUCUCAGUUCCAGACGAGUAGUGCAUCUACCCGAUGCGACGGCUCGGACUGAACAUCAUGCCGGUUCUUUCUUGGUGCACUUCAUUGUGUGCCUCGAGAUGGCCGGUGCUUUUACUUUGUUUGAAAAAAUUAGAGUGCUCAACGCAGGCGAGUCGCCUGAAUAAACUUGCGAGGAAUAAUAGAACAAGACCUCGUUUCUGUUCUGUUGGUUUUUGGAAUACGAGGUAAUGAUUAAGAGGGACGGACGGGGGCAUUCGUAUUGCGGCGCUAGAGGUGAAAUUCUUGGACCGUCGCAAGACGAACUACUGCGAAAGCAUUUGCCAAGAAUGUUUUCAUUGAUCAAGAACGAAAGUCAGAGGUUCGAAGGCGAUCAGAUACCGCCCUAGUUCUGACCAUAAACGAUGCCAACCAGCGAUCCGCCUGAGUUACUCAAAUGACUCGGCGGGCAGCUUCCGGGAAACCAAAGUAUUUGGGUUCCGGGGGAAGUAUGGUUGCAAAGCUGAAACUUAAAGGAAUUGACGGAAGGGCACCACCAGGAGUGGAGCCUGCGGCUUAAUUUGACUCAACACGGGAAAACUUACCCGGCCCGGACACUGGGAGGAUUGACAGAUUGAGAGCUCUUUCUUGAUUCGGUGGAUGGUGGUGCAUGGCCGUUCUUAGUUGGUGGAGCGAUUUGUCUGGUUAAUUCCGAUAACGAACGAGACUCUAGCCUAUUAAAUAGGUGCGGGGUUCCCAGCACCUUACAACCUUCUUAGAGGGACAAGCGGCUCCUAGCCGCACGAAACAGAGCAAUAACAGGUCUGUGAUGCCCUUAGAUGUCCGGGGCCGCACGCGCGCUACACUGAAGGAAGCAGCGUGUCUUUAUCCCUGUCUGAAAAGACUGGGUAACCCGUGGAACUUCUUUCGUGAUUGGGAUAGGGGCUUGCAAUUGUUCCCCUUGAACGAGGAAUUCCCAGUAAGCGCGAGUCAUAAGCUCGCGUUGAUUACGUCCCUGCCCUUUGUACACACCGCCCGUCGCUACUUCCGAUUGAAUGAUUUAGUGAGGUCUUCGGACCGAUGUCCGGCGCGGCCUUUCGGUUGCGCCGGUCUGUUGGAAAGAUGACCAAACUUGAUCAUUUAGAGGAAGUAAAAGUCGUAACAAGGUUUCCGUAGGUGAACCUGCGGAAG
Molecule: ribosomal RNA, 1809 nt
Filed under: Rhipicephalus microplus (southern cattle tick)
Lineage: Eukaryota; Metazoa; Arthropoda; Arachnida; Ixodida; Ixodidae
Description: SSU rRNA
Rfam family: Eukaryotic small subunit ribosomal RNA
Source: RNAcentral